RNAcentral lists this ribosomal RNA (452 nucleotides) under uncultured bacterium. Its description in RNAcentral is "partial 16S ribosomal RNA". It matches the Rfam family "Bacterial small subunit ribosomal RNA", at positions 28 to 507 of the family's 1533-position model. The record is from RNAcentral.
AGCGAACGCUGGCGGCAUGCCUAACACAUGCAAGUCGCACGGGGGGGGCUUCGGCCUCCCAGUGGCGGACGGGUGAGGAACGCGUAGGGACCUGUCGAGGGGUGGGGGAUAACCGCGGGAAACUGCGGCUAAUACCGCAUGACGCCGCGGCGUGACAGCCGGGGCCAAAGGCGAAAGCCGCCCGCCGAGGGGCCUGCGUCCGAUUAGCUGGUUGGCGGGGUAGCGGCCCACCAAGGCGUCGAUCGGUAGCUGGUCUGAGAGGGUGAUCAGCCACACCGGGACUGAGACACGGCCCGGACUCCUACGGGAGGCAGCAGUGGGGAAUUUUGGACAAUGGGCGCAAGCCUGAUCCAGCAAUGCCGCGUGGGUGAAGAAGGUCUUCGGAUUGUAAAGCCCUUUCGGCGGGGACGAUGGUGACGGUACCCGCAGAAGAAGCCCCGGCUAACUUCGUG